CAGCAGUAGCUACGGUAAUACGUAGGGUGCGAGCGUUAAUCGGAAUUACUGGGCGUAAAGCGUGCGCAGGCGGUUAUAUAAGACAGAUGUGAAAUCCCCGGGCUCAACCUGGGACCUGCAUUUGUGACUGUAUAGCUGGAGUACGGUAGAGGGGGAUGGAAUUCCGCGUGUAGCAGUGAAAUGCGUAGAUAUGCGGAGGAACACCGAUGGCGAAGGCAAUCCCCCGGACCUGUACUGACGCUCAUGCACGAAAGCGUGGGGAGCAAACAGGAUUAGAUACCCCCGUAGUCCCUGUCUCUUAUCC
Molecule: ribosomal RNA, 304 nt
Filed under: uncultured bacterium
Lineage: Bacteria
Description: partial 16S ribosomal RNA
Rfam family: Bacterial small subunit ribosomal RNA
Source: RNAcentral